This 2339-nucleotide long non-coding RNA is filed under the name Piliocolobus tephrosceles (Ugandan red Colobus). RNAcentral's name for it is "lncRNA (ENSPTEG00000003142.1)". The record is from RNAcentral. Lineage: Eukaryota; Metazoa; Chordata; Mammalia; Primates; Cercopithecidae.
GUAUUUAUUUUACAUAAGUUCCCCAAUUUUUUUGAAUAUUUGUACAAACAUUAUAAAUGUAAAUGUAUUUAUUUUUUUGCUUAUACACCUGCCUAUACUGGAAAAUAUUUCAACAACGAUUUUUUAAAUUAUACAAAUAAUAUACCAAGUAACAUCAAUAAAACAGGUACAUGUGCGUUUAGGAAGCAUCCCUCUAUAAAAAACAAUUUGAUUAACGAAGCAUAUUCAUUAACUGAUAAAAGUCCAACAAAAAAAAAAAAAAAAAGUGUUUUUAGUAGGAACCUUAUGAAUUUGGAUAAUAAAACGGAGGUAGAGUGUACACAGAAGAAGUUAUUCAAAGGAGUGGAUGAACCAUGUAAAAAAAUACAAAGUGUAGAGGAGAUACUUAAAGAAGAUGUAAGGGUGAACAUAAUAAGAAAAAAUACUAACUACAUGAGUGAUUGCUCUAAAAAUGUUAAUGAUAAUAAUGAUAAUAUUAAUGAUAAUUAUAAAAAUGUUAAGGAUAAAAAAUUCGAUACUGAUAGAGAAAAUAAUAUACAUGAUAGCAAUAUCCAUAAAAAUGAUGACAUUUAUAAACUUGUAGUUAAAGACCAAACCAAAAUACAAUGUAAUAAUAAAAAAGCAUUAUUUGAUACAAAUAUUCAUAAUGACAGUAAUGACAACGAAAAUUUAAUUGAUAUAAAUACAGAAAGAAAACACAUAAACACUGAAUAUUGUAAAACUAUAACUAUAGCGAAAAAAAACGAUGAUAGGAGAAUGAUAGAUGAAAAAAAUAAUACAAUAAUGAAUAGGAAAAAUAAUAUAAAAUGGAAAGACCCAAAUAAUGUAAACAAUAAAAGGUUUGAUCGUCUGCGAAAAUUUUUCAGAAACCGAAAUGUGAGUAAUGAUAAUAAGUAUGAUAAUAUGGAGUACGACGGAGGUGGUGAUAGGUAUGACAGUAUUGGUAGUAGUGAUAGUAUUGGUAGUAGUGAUAGUAUUAGUAUUAGUAGUGGUAGAAUUAGUAGUGAGGACAAACAUAAUAACCACAACUGCGAAAACAAGAACGAAGAUGACACGUUCAAUGCAACUAACAAUGCAACUAACAAUGCAACUAACAAUGCAACUAGCAAUAUAUAUGAUGAAAACAACAAACUACACACAAGGGUAUCCAAUAAUAAUAGAAUUUACAACCUAUUUAAUAAAAAUAAACAAAAGUUUAUUGACUUUUAUAAUUCGAAAAAGCAUCAGAAGCUAUUUAAAUUUAAUCAUAUGAAUCAGAUUUAUGAUGAUAAUAAAAAUGAAAGUAAUAACACAGAGACUAAUUUAGAUAAAUAUUUAUUAAAAAAAAAAAAAAAAAAUUUAGAUUAUAUGAAUUUACAACAUAAGUUUAAUGCUGCUGACAUAUACCAAGAGUAUAUUUUUUUAAAUGAAAAAGAUGGAGGAAGAAAAAAAAAAGAUGGUUCAAACGAUUAUCACCCUAAUUUAUUAUCACAUAUGCUAAACAAUAGUUGUGUUGAUGAAACAAGAGCAGGAGCAGGAACAGAGACAGGGGCAGAAGAAGAGACCGAAACUGAUAGCGAAACCGAAACCGAAUCAAAUGAUCAGGACCAUUCAAAUAUUAACGAUAUACUGUUAAUCGAUUUGGAACUAAAAAUUAUGAAGAAUAUGAAAAUGAAUUAUUGCAAUAUAUUAACUGAUCAACAGAAUGAAAAUGUACAAAAUGAAAAAGUAUUAAAUGAUUUAAAAAAAAACGAUAAUUCACAAAAUGAAGCAAAUAUUUCAAAUGACAAUAAAAUAUACUUUGAUUUGAAUAAUGAAAAAUAUGAGCUGGAUUUGAAUUUGUAUAAAACUAAAUGCGAUAAGUUUUAUAGUUCCUAUAAAAGUAAAAAUAUAUCUAAUUAUGAGCAUGUAUAUGGUUAUAGUCAUAGUAAUAGUAAUAAUAAUGAGACCACAUGUAUAAGCAACACAAAAAGUGAACGGGGAACUACUCUGAACAGUGACGACUUUAUUAGUAGUAAUUUUGAAAACGAUUCCGAGCGUGAAAAUAAUUUUAAUGUAAAUAGUAAUAAACAUAUAACCAAUGUCAACCGAAAUAAUAUAAAUCGCAAAUGCCUUAACGUUGUAGAAACGACAAAAACGAAAAAGCAAAAAAAAAAAAGAAAAAAAAAAAAAGAAAAAAAAAAACGUUACCCAAAUUUUCUAUCAUUAAUUUUGAAGAAAGUCAAGAUAAAAAUAUAGGAUUUUAUUUUUAUAAUAUAGUUGAAUAUUACCCUAGAUAUUUUUAUAACAUUGUUCAACUAAUAUAUAUAAAUAUAAUUUUAGUUUUUAUUUAUUUUUAUUGUUUUUUUAUUAUAUCAGUA